CCUACGGGAGGCAGCAGUGGGGAAUAUUGGGCAAUGGAGGAAACUCUGACCCAGCAACGCCGCGUGAAUGAUGAAGGCCUUCGGAUUGUAAAGUUCUUUUCUAAGGGAAGAAGAAAGUGACGGUACCUGAGGAAUAAGCCACGGCUAACUACGUGCCAGCAGCCGCGGUAAUACGUAGGAGGCAAGCGUUAUCCGGAAUGACUGGGCGUAAAGGGCGCGUAGGUGGUUCAGCAAGUUAGUAGCGUAAUUCCGGGGCUCAACUUCGGCACUACUACUAAAACUGUUGGACUUGAGUGCAGGAGGGGCAGCUGGAAUUUCGAGUGUAGCGGUGGAAUGCGUAGAUAUUAGGAAGAACACCGGUGGCGAAGGCGAGUUGCUGGACUGUAACUGACACUGAGGCACGAAAGCGUGGGGAGCAAACAGGAUUAGAUACCCGUGUAGUC
This 443-nucleotide ribosomal RNA is filed under the name uncultured bacterium. Its description in RNAcentral is "partial 16S ribosomal RNA". It matches the Rfam family "Bacterial small subunit ribosomal RNA", at positions 338 to 795 of the family's 1533-position model. The record is from RNAcentral.